UACGGAAGGUCCGGGCGUUAUCCGGAUUUAUUGGGUUUAAAGGGAGCGUAGGCCGGAGAUUAAGCGUGUUGUGAAAUGUAGACGCUCAACGUCUGCACUGCAGCGCGAACUGGUUUCCUUGAGUACGCACAAAGUGGGCGGAAUUCGUGGUGUAGCGGUGAAAUGCUUAGAUAUCAUGAAGACGACCGAUCGCGAAGGCAGGUUUCCGGAGCGCAACUGACGCUGAAGCUCGAAAGUGCGGGUAUCGAACAGG
This 253-nucleotide ribosomal RNA is filed under the name uncultured bacterium. RNAcentral's name for it is "partial 16S ribosomal RNA". It matches the Rfam family "Bacterial small subunit ribosomal RNA", at positions 524 to 776 of the family's 1533-position model. The record is from RNAcentral.